CAAGCGAGCCAGAAGUCUUCGGGC
RNAcentral lists this non-coding RNA (24 nucleotides) under Arabidopsis thaliana (thale cress). The record is from RNAcentral. Lineage: Eukaryota; Viridiplantae; Streptophyta; Magnoliopsida; Brassicales; Brassicaceae.